Molecule: ribosomal RNA, 253 nt
Filed under: uncultured bacterium
Lineage: Bacteria
Description: partial 16S ribosomal RNA
Rfam family: Bacterial small subunit ribosomal RNA
Source: RNAcentral
UAUGUAGGGUGCAAGCGUUAAUCGGAAUUACUGGGCGUAAAGCGUGCGCAGGCGGUUCGCUAAGACAGAUGUGAAAUCCCCGGGCUUAACCUGGGAACUGCAUUUGUGACUGGCGGGCUAGAGUAUGGCAGAGGGGGGUAGAAUUCCACGUGUAGCAGUGAAAUGCGUAGAGAUGUGGAGGAAUACCGAUGGCGAAGGCAGCCCCCUGGGCCAAUACUGACGCUCAUGCACGAAAGCGUGGGGAGCAAACAGG